Molecule: ribosomal RNA, 484 nt
Filed under: uncultured Glomeromycotina
Lineage: Eukaryota; Fungi; Glomeromycota
Description: SSU rRNA
Rfam family: Eukaryotic small subunit ribosomal RNA
Source: RNAcentral
AGCGUAUAUUAAAGUUGUUGCAGUUAAAAAGCUCGUAGUUGAAUUUCGGGGUCAGUAGGUCGGUCGUGCCACUGGUAUGAACUGGUUUUACUGAUUCCUCCCUCUUGAAGAACUGUAAUGCCAUUAAUUUGGUGUUGCAGGGAAUCAGGACUGUUACUUUGAAAAAAUUAGAGUGUUUAAAGCAGGCUUUAGCUUGAAUACAUUAGCAUGGAAUAAUGAAAUAGGACGUUUGAUCCUAUUUUGUUGGUUUCUAGGAUUGACGUAAUGAUUAAUAGGGAUAGUUGGGGGCAUUAGUAUUCAAUUGUCAGAGGUGAAAUUCUUGGAUUUAUUGAAGACUGACUACUGCGAAAGCAUUUGCCAAGGAUGUUUUCAUUAAUCAAGAACGAAAGUUAGGGGAUCGAAGACGAUCAGAUACCGUCGUAGUCUUAACCAUAAACUAUGCCGACUAGGGAUCGGAUGAUGUUAAUUUUUUAAUGACUCAUUC